Molecule: ribosomal RNA, 279 nt
Filed under: Clostridium sp. AF32-12BH
Lineage: Bacteria; Bacillati; Bacillota; Clostridia; Eubacteriales; Clostridiaceae
Description: partial 16S ribosomal RNA
Rfam family: Bacterial small subunit ribosomal RNA
Source: RNAcentral
UUUUAUUUGAGAGUUUGAUCCUGGCUCAGGAUGAACGCUGGCGGCGUGCUUAACACAUGCAAGUCGAGCGAAGCACUUAUGAAAGAUUCUUCGGAUGAUUUCAUUUGUGACUGAGCGGCGGACGGGUGAGUAACGCGUGGGUAACCUGCCUCAUACAGGGGGAUAACAGUUGGAAACGACUGCUAAUACCGCAUAAGCGCACAGUACCGCAUGGUAUAGUGUGAAAAACUCCGGUGGCAUGAGAUGGACCCGCGUCUGAUUAGCUAGUUGGUGGGGUAA